Molecule: ribosomal RNA, 253 nt
Filed under: uncultured bacterium
Lineage: Bacteria
Description: partial 16S ribosomal RNA
Rfam family: Bacterial small subunit ribosomal RNA
Source: RNAcentral
UACGUAGGGGGCAAGCGUUGUUCGGAAUUACUGGGCGUAAAGGGCGCGUAGGCGGCUCAGCAAGUCGGGCGUGAAAGCCCGGGGCUCAACCCCGGAACUGCUUUCGAAACUGCUGAGCUAGAGUACAGAAGGGGCAACCGGAAUUCCCAGUGUAGCGGUGAAAUGCGUAGAUAUUGGGAAGAACACCUGAGGCGAAGGCGGGUUGCUGGGCUGAUACUGACGCUGAGGCGCGAAAGCCAGGGGAGCAAACGGG